Molecule: non-coding RNA, 91 nt
Organism: Elasticomyces elasticus
Lineage: Eukaryota; Fungi; Ascomycota; Dothideomycetes; Mycosphaerellales; Teratosphaeriaceae
Source: the annotation of a GenBank genome assembly
GCUUCUAUAGCUCAGUUGGUAGAGCGCGGCACUAGUAGUUGCAGCGUUAACAGCAAUGCCGAGGUCUACGGUUCAACUCCGUAUGGAAGCA